CAGUAGCCGCGGUAAUACGAAGGGUGCAAGCGUUACUCGGAAUUACUGGGCGUAAAGCGUGCGUAGGUGGUGGUUUAAGUCCGUUGUGAAAGCCCUGGGCUCAACCUGGGAAUUGCAGUGGAUACUGGGUCACUAGAGUGUGGUAGAGGAUAGUGGAAUUUCCGGUGUAGCAGUGAAAUGCGUAUAGAUCGGAAGGAACAUCUGUGGCGAAGGCGACUAUCUGGGCCAACACUGACACUGAGGCACGAAAGCGUGGGGAGCAAACAGGAUUAGAUACCCCAGUAGUCCCUGUCUCUUAUAC
This 301-nucleotide ribosomal RNA is filed under the name uncultured bacterium. RNAcentral's name for it is "partial 16S ribosomal RNA". It matches the Rfam family "Bacterial small subunit ribosomal RNA", at positions 509 to 807 of the family's 1533-position model. The record is from RNAcentral.